AAGAGGCAGCUGGCAACAUGUACACGCCUAGAUUAGAGUUACCACCUCUCACCAAGACAUGAGUCGAGUAUUUUGCCUUUAAAUAUCCCUCUAAUACUAUUGCUUUGUUUCGUAAAUGCGUAAAAAAUAAGACGUAAUAUCGACAUCCAACCGCUACGUCUAAUUAAUCCGACUUUUACGAAGUGAUAGUUUUGUUUGAUUUAUUUAGAACAUGUUAAGCUUGUGGUAAACCCCGGGCUUAUGGAGUGCUGGAACCCAUCACGAGACCUCUAACUGCCGGUGAGGUGUUACGGUGUAACAAGAGGAACUCGGAGGAAUUGUUCGGCGGACUGUUAAGAUGGAGUGGAAUGCUUCAGGCUCCCUGCCUCCCCUCCCCUUCAGCAGUUGCUGAACGAGGCAAUACAUGGCUCGACAAAUACAUCAGGUAACCCCGACAACGCCACGUCCUCCGUCCUCGUCGCUCCUUUCCUGAAGCGUGAGUAAGAACUUUGC
This is a long non-coding RNA of Portunus trituberculatus (swimming crab), 492 nucleotides long. RefSeq lists it as uncharacterized. The record is from RefSeq and is a predicted model, not a curated record. NCBI's taxonomy places the organism in Eukaryota, Metazoa, Arthropoda, Malacostraca, Decapoda, Portunidae. The transcript is spliced from 3 exons.